GGAAUAUAAUUCCCAGCGCAACGCAAUUUCAAGAACCCCCAACAAUAUACGCAUUCUGUAUCGUCCGUUGCUCGUCGUGAGUAUCUCUCACCGUGUCGGUGUUUCCAAUGGCCUCCUCCUGUUCGAGGAAGCCCUCUAUUUGUCGGGUUUUCCUUGUGUUUCUGGUUCUUGCCUAUCGUUGCGAUGCAUUCUAUCUCCCCGGCAGCUACAUGAAUGUUUACUCCUCUGAGGAUCCCAUAUUUGCUAAGGUUAAUUCCUUGACUUCCAUUGAAACUGAGCUUCCUUUCAACUAUUAUACUCUUCCCUAUUGCAAGCCACCGGGUGGUGUCAAGAAAAGUGCAGAGAAUCUUGGGGAGUUGCUUAUGGGUGAUCAGAUCGACAACUCUCCAUAUCGUUUUCGCAUGAAUGUAAAUGAAACAGUCUACCUUUGUACCACUGAGCCUUUGAGUGAGGUUCAAGUGAAGCUUUUGAAACAGAGAACUCGUGAUCUCUAUCAGGUAAACAUGAUACUGGAUAAUUUACCUGCCAUGAGAUUUACCGAACAAAAUGGGAUUAAAAUCCAGUGGACUGGGUUUCCAGUUGGGUACACGCCAUCAAACAGUGAGGAUGAUUAUAUCAUUAACCACCUAAAGUUCACCGUCUUGGUUCAUGAGUACGAGGGGACUGGUGCGGAAAUAAUUGGUACUGGGGAAGAAGGUAUGGGUGUGAUUUCACAAGCUGAACAGAAGAAGGCUUCUGGAUACGAAAUUGUUGGAUUUCAGGUUACACCUUGUAGUGUUAAAUAUGAUCCUGAAACGAUGAAAAAGUAUGAUAUGCUACAGAAUAUCACGCAUGUAGACUGUCCAAAAGAACUUGAGAAGUCCCAGAUCAUCAGGGAGAAAGAGGAAGUGUCAUUCACUUAUGAGGUGCAGUUUGUCAAAAGUGAUAUAAGGUGGCCAUCAAGAUGGGAUGCUUAUUUGAGGAUGGAGGGUUCCAAAGUACACUGGUUCUCAAUUCUAAAUUCACUAAUGGUAAUCUUCUUCUUAGCGGGUAUAGUUUUCGUUAUAUUCUUAAGGACUGUGAGAAGAGACUUGACAAGGUAUGAGGAAUUGGACAAAGAAUCUCAAGCGCAAAUGAACGAAGAGCUCUCAGGAUGGAAACUUGUAGUUGGAGAUGUGUUCAGAGAACCUGAAUGUUCGAAGCUUCUCUGCGUGAUGGUUGGUGAUGGGGUUCAAAUCUUGGGGAUGGCAGUUGUCACUGUUGUUUGUACAGCAUUUGGCUUCAUGUCACCAGCUUCUAGAGGAAUGCUACUGACAGGGAUGAUUAUUCUUUACCUUUUCCUUGGAAUUAUUGCAGGUUAUGUUGGUGUACGCGCAUGGAGAACCAUUAAGGGAACGUCAGAAGGGUGGAGAUCAGUUUCCUGGUCAGUUGCUUGCUUCUUUCCUGGGAUCGUCUUCGUCAUUCUUACGGUACUGAACUUCAUUCUUUGGAGCAGCAAGAGUAGUGGUGCCAUUCCCAUCUCAUUAUAUUUUGAACUCCUAGCUCUCUGGUUUUGCAUAUCUGUGCCACUGACCCUGCUGGGAGGGUUCUUUGCCACACGAGCUGCAGAAAUUCAGUUUCCCGUGAGAACCAACCAGAUUCCGAGGGAAAUUCCUUCACGGAAGUACCCAUCUUGGCUUCUCAUUCUUGGAGCUGGGACCCUUCCCUUCGGAACCCUUUUCAUCGAACUCUUCUUUAUCCUUUCUAGCAUCUGGCUUGGAAGGUUCUAUUACGUUUUCGGUUUUCUACUGAUAGUUUUAUCUCUUCUGGUUAUUGUGUGUGCUGAAGUAUCAGUCGUCCUUACCUACAUGCAUCUCUGUGUGGAGGAUUGGCGAUGGUGGUGGAAGGCGUUCUUUGCUUCUGGUUCAGUUGCUCUUUACGUGUUCCUAUAUUCCAUCCACUACUUGGUCUUUGAGCUGCAGAGUUUGAGCGGCCCGGUGUCUGCUAUUCUUUAUCUUGGUUAUUCAUUGAUCAUGGCAACGGCAAUUAUGUUAUCAACUGGCACCAUCGGCUUCCUGACGUCUUUCUACUUUGUUCACUACCUAUUUUCUUCGGUAAAGAUAGAUUAGAAAUGGCCUGCCCUUGCUCGCCUGGCCAGUGGACGAUUACGGUAACAUUUCAGCUCUUGGCGAACCGUCUAAUACUUUCUUUUUCCCUUCAGCCUAGCAAGUUUCUUAGGCUUUUUUUUUUUGUCUUUGGAGCCAUUACAUUAUAUGAAGUGAAGUGAGAUGAUGGGAUAGUUAUUUCUAGUUUUAUGAAUCCCAACCUAUGUUUAGAAUGCAAAGAUCUGCCCUCCACCAAUACCAAAUCCAAAAAAAUGGGAUGUUCUUGGGUUUUUAAUGCUAUUGAUCUAUUUUUGAUGGAGUGCUUCUAUCCAACCAAAUUGUUAGUAGAAACUUGAAAGUUGUUACCAUUGUUUUACCUUUUCCAUUCUUGUAUACCAUUUCAUUGUAUUUGCUUUCUCCUUUGAUAUUUUUGACAUUAUUGAUUUCUUAUCUAUACGUGCAAGUCGUUAAGUUC
Molecule: RNA transcript, 2538 nt
Organism: Cucurbita moschata (crookneck pumpkin)
Lineage: Eukaryota; Viridiplantae; Streptophyta; Magnoliopsida; Cucurbitales; Cucurbitaceae
Gene name: transmembrane 9 superfamily member 12-like
Exons: 3
Source: RefSeq, a predicted model, not a curated record